This 400-nucleotide ribosomal RNA is filed under the name uncultured bacterium. RNAcentral describes it as "bacterial SSU rRNA". It matches the Rfam family "Bacterial small subunit ribosomal RNA", at positions 355 to 772 of the family's 1533-position model. The record is from RNAcentral.
UGGGGGAUAUUGCACAAUGGGGGAAACCCUGAUGCAGCGACGCCGCGUGAGCGAAGAAGAUCUUCGGAUUGUAAAGCUCUGUCUUAGGGGACGAUAAUGACGGUACCCUGAGAGGAAGCCACGGCUAACUACGUGCCAGCAGCCGCGGUAAUACGUAGGUGGCAAGCGUUGUCCGGAAUUACUGGGUGUAAAGGGAGCGCAGGCGGGCAGACAAGUUGGAAGUGAAAAUCAUGGGCUCAACUCAUGACCUGCUUUCAAAACUGUAUGUCUUGAGUGGUGCAGAGGUAGGCGGAAUUCCCGGUGUAGCGGUGGAAUGCGUAGAUAUCGGGAGGAACACCAGUGGCGAAGGCGGCCUACUGGGCACUAACUGACGCUGAGGCUCGAAAGUAUGGGUAGCAAA